RNAcentral lists this ribosomal RNA (829 nucleotides) under uncultured bacterium. RNAcentral describes it as "bacterial SSU rRNA". It matches the Rfam family "Bacterial small subunit ribosomal RNA", at positions 26 to 871 of the family's 1533-position model. The record is from RNAcentral.
AGGACGAACGCUGGCGGCGUGCUUAACACAUGCAAGUCGAACGGUGAAGCCCUUCGGGGUGGAUCAGUGGCGAACGGGUGAGUAACACGUGAGCAACCUGCCCUUGGCUCUGGGAUAACUCCGGGAAACCGGGGCUAAUACCGGAUACGACCUCCGCAGGCAUCUGCGGUGGUGGAAAGAAUUUCGGCCAAGGAUGGGCUCGCGGCCUAUCAGCUUGUUGGUGGGGUAAUGGCCCACCAAGGCGACGACGGGUAGCCGGCCUGAGAGGGCGAUCGGCCACACUGGGACUGAGACACGGCCCAGACUCCUACGGGAGGCAGCAGUGGGGAAUAUUGCGCAAUGGGCGAAAGCCUGACGCAGCAACGCCGCGUGAGGGAUGAAGGCCUUCGGGUUGUAAACCUCUUUCAGCAGGGAAGAAGCGAAAGUGACGGUACCUGCAGAAGAAGCACCGGCUAACUACGUGCCAGCAGCCGCGGUAAUACGUAGGGUGCAAGCGUUGUCCGGAAUUAUUGGGCGUAAAGAGCUCGUAGGUGGUUUGUCGCGUCUGCUGUGAAAAUUCGGGGCUCAACCCCGGACUUGCAGUGGGUACGGGCAGACUAGAGUGUGGUAGAGGAGACUGGAAUUCCUGGUGUAGCGGUGGAAUGCGCAGAUAUCAGGAGGAACACCAGUGGCGAAGGCGGGUCUCUGGGCCACAACUGACACUGAGGAGCGAAAGCGUGGGGAGCGAACAGGAUUAGAUACCCUGGUAGUCCACGCCGUAAACGUUGGGCGCUAGGUGUGGGGCUCUUUCCACGAGUUCCGCGCCGCAGCUAACGCAUUAAGCGCCCCG